This 254-nucleotide ribosomal RNA is filed under the name uncultured bacterium. RNAcentral's name for it is "partial 16S ribosomal RNA". It matches the Rfam family "Bacterial small subunit ribosomal RNA", at positions 524 to 777 of the family's 1533-position model. The record is from RNAcentral.
UACAGAGGUCCCAAGCGUUGUUCGGAUUCAUUGGGCGUAAAGGGUGUGUAGGUGGCGCCGUAAGUCGGGUGUGAAAUCUCGGGGCUUAACUCCGAAACUGCAUUCGAUACUGCGGUGCUUGAGGACUGGAGAGGAGACUGGAAUUCAUGGUGUAGCAGUGAAAUGCGUAGAGAUCAUGAGGAAGACCAGUGGCGAAGGCGGGUCUCUGGACAGUUCCUGACACUGAGACACGAAGGCCAGGGGAGCAAAACGGG